This 476-nucleotide ribosomal RNA is filed under the name uncultured bacterium. Its description in RNAcentral is "bacterial SSU rRNA". It matches the Rfam family "Bacterial small subunit ribosomal RNA", at positions 335 to 797 of the family's 1533-position model. The record is from RNAcentral.
ACUCCUACGGGAGGCAGCAGUGGGAAUAUUGCACAAUGGGGAAGCCAUCGAUGCAGCCAUGCCGCGCUGUGUGAAGAAGGCCAAUUCGGGCUUGGUUAAAGACACUUUCAGUAGGGAGGAAGGUAGUGUAGUUAACACCUGCAUUAUUUGACGUUAGCGACAGAAGAAGCACCGGCUAACUCCGUGCCAGCAGCCGCGGUAAUACGUAGGUCCCGAGCGUUAUCCGGAAUUAUUGGGCGUAAAGGGCACGUAGGCGGUACAAUAAGUUUGAUGUCAAAUACAACGGCCCAACCGUUGAAAGGCGUUGAAAACUGUUGAACUAGAAUCUUGGAGAGGUAAGUGGAAUUUCAUGUGUAGCGGUGGAAUGCGUAGAUAUAUGAAGGAACACCAAUGGCGAAGGCAGCUUACUGGACAAAGAUUGACGCUGAGGUGCGAAAGCGUGGGUAGCAAACAGGAUUAGAUACCCUGGUAGGUGA